UGGGGAAUAUUGGACAAUGGGCGCAAGCCUGAUCCAGCCAUGCCGCGUGGAUGAAGAAGGCCCUAGGGUUGUAAAAUCCUUUCGCUAGGGAAGAUAAUGACGGUACCUAGUAAAGAAGCCCCGGCUAAUUUCGUGCCAGCAGCCGCGGUAAUACGAAAGGGGCUAGCGUUGUUCGGAAUUACUGGGCGUAAAGCGCACGUAGGCGGCCUUGUAAGUUGGGGGUGAAAUCCCGGAGCUCAACUCCGGAACUGCCUCCAAAACUACAAAGCUUGAGGAUGUGAGAGGAUAGUGGAAUUCCGAGUGUAGAGGUGAAAUUCGUAGAUAUUCGGAAGAACACCAGUGGCGAAGGCGACUGUCUGGCACAUUUCUGACGCUGAGGUGCGAAAGCGUGGGGAGCAAACAGGAUUAGAUACCCCCGUAGUCC
Molecule: ribosomal RNA, 424 nt
Filed under: uncultured prokaryote
Description: bacterial SSU rRNA
Rfam family: Bacterial small subunit ribosomal RNA
Source: RNAcentral